Molecule: transfer RNA, 76 nt
Filed under: Fidelibacterota bacterium
Lineage: Bacteria; Pseudomonadati; Fidelibacterota
Description: tRNA-Ala
Rfam family: tRNA
About the family: Transfer RNA (tRNA) molecules are approximately 80 nucleotides in length. Their secondary structure includes four short double-helical elements and three loops (D, anti-codon, and T loops).
Source: RNAcentral
GGGGCCGUAGCUCAGUUGGGAGAGCGCAGCGUUCGCAAUGCUGAGGCCGGGAGUUCGAUUCUCCUCGGCUCCACCA